Molecule: long non-coding RNA, 3164 nt
Organism: Lagopus muta (rock ptarmigan)
Lineage: Eukaryota; Metazoa; Chordata; Aves; Galliformes; Phasianidae
Exons: 3
Source: RefSeq, a predicted model, not a curated record
GGCGGCAGCUCGUGCAACGGGCAGCGCUGCAGGGCGGCGGGCGGUGCUCUCUCCCGUCUCCCCGCAGCGGUAGCCCCCGCACCGCCCCGCGAGCAGCGGACGAAAGGGGAUGGGUGGGCUGACGGGAGAGCGCCUCUGAGGGGCCGCGAGGGUGCGGCGUGCCCGGCUCCCGUCUUCUCCCUCUGGCACCUUGGCCUGGCGGCUCCUGCGGCUCGUUGCGCAGCUGUACGCCCGUGGCCCUGAGAGGAGCUGCCAAGCUUAACUUUCAACAGAGAGGAACAUGUUGCCAGUCUCUUUGCUUGGAAAAAGGCAUAAGCUUCCUGGUGUGCUCCUGAUCUACGUUUCAUUGAGAUUUGCACUGUGGGACCCUUCUUGACAUUCUGCAGAAAAGUGGCACUGUAAUCCAGAGCACAAAUUGAGGAUAUUCUGGGACAGCAAUUAUGGUCUUAAUCUGCCUGAACAAAUUUGCAAAAUUUCACCUGCUUUAUGGGAAAACAUUGCACACCUGAUGGGGAAUCAUUACAGAAAUGUUCCUGUUUCACCACCAGCGAAAGCAAACCAGCAGCAUUCCCUUCUCCAUACAGAUCUUUCACUGUAAAGGAAGCAAUUAAAAAUUUCACUCCUAACCACAACUUAUUACAAUAAACAAUUCUCCUUUCGUAUAUCUGUUCUAAGUCUCCGGUGAGAAAUUUCAUCUGAUGACAGCACUAGGCUCAAACUUUCAUAGACACAGUUCCACCCAAGAAACUCCCAAGUCUUCAGAUGCAAAUGAACCUAUGAAAAUACUAACAGCCAUGGGAGUGGGUGCAUAACAAACUUUCAUCAGAAAGAAAUUGUGGUGCCUCACUCCAUAGGUGUUAUAUUAACUGUCAGGAAUUCAGGCACUGGCCUGCAGGUGAAGACAAUUAAGUUAUCCUACCAGAUCUGGAAUGUGUUGGGAGCAAUUCAGUGACUAGUUGUAAAGGAAGGAAGGAAUGUGUCCUGCUUUUCCUUGUUAGGGCUUGCUACCACCCUAGGGAUAAGUGAACUGUUUAUUUUCCUCUUUAAGGAAAAAAAAAGUUUUAUGUUCCACCUAAAGCAGGCAAUCUGAACAGCUUAACCCUUUCCAGCUUUGUCUGCUGUAUUCAAUCUUUCUAUUUUUAAAUUCUAUGAGUGCAAACCAGGAAAGUUCUGAUUUAACCUAACACCUGCCUAUAAGCUUCUCUGUCUCUGCUACAAAAGCUACAGGGAAUCAGUACUUCCCAUGGGGCAAGGGAAGAAUCAAUUUCUGGUUUCCAUCUCCAGUGCAGAAACAGUGACACAUGUCCAGAGCGGCAGCAGAUUAUCCCAUAUUUGGUAACACUGCUACAUUGAAAAUUGAAAACAGAACUUCACAAAAGCAAAAAAAAAACAAUGGAAUUUUAACUAAAGCCCUGUGGCACCAUACUAAGCCACACAGAGCACUCAAAAUGUCCCAUAUCGCAUCUUGAAAAUAUCCUCCAUUGGUCAUUUUGAUGUGCAGGGUCAUACACUGCUGUUAAUUUCUUCUCCUUACUGAUUGGUUUCACUCACUGUGCAUUGGCAAUGGUGGAGGCCCCAUUCCUGCAGCUUGUUCUGGCAGAGCUUGCACUCACGGAUCAGGUUUUGCAGCAGGAACCAGAUUCAGAAACCCAGGGUGAAUUUCAGUACAAAGCUGUGAUCCUCAAGUGUCAAAACAAAAACAAUACCCUUCCUCUCCCACCUAUAUGCCCCCAAAAUAACUAAAAAACACAACACUUUCUUUUUUUUUAAGCUGUGAAGCUCCCUGCUAAGAUUUUGGUGUUUCUGGAAGUUUACAUGAUCUCAGCAGAUGGCUGCUAAAGUCCACAGGAAAAGAAUUCCAUGACAAUUACUAAAUAUGCAGAAAUAAUGCUUGGCUCUAGACAUUUCUUAGCUGCAAAUGGCACGAAGCUCAAGGAAAAUGGUAGAUAUUCCUGUCCAGUCCUUACUACCUUCCUUAAACAUUAGUUUAACAUUAUUAUUAUUAUGAGAUGCAAAAUAUUGGUAUUACUGAAUUCUUGAUCUUACCCAGCCUGAUCAUUCCUAUGUUCCUGUUAUCUUCCAUUCCAAAGUUCCUUCUACAUAAUUUUAUUUUCUCACGUUACACUUUCAUUGCUGAAAAUUCCUUACUUGAGAGAUAAGGCUCCAGAAGUGAUAGAGAGACUUACUAGUGAGAUUAAUCCACAUCCCAGUAAGUUUCCUACACCAAGACUUGUAGGUUCCACACUUGGAUUCUGGCAAGUUACAUGAAGAAUCUGAUCUAUGAUGAUGAUGCCUUUUAAUAACAGAUAUUUUUAACACUGCUAUGUACCAGAUUAUUUAAAAACUUGUAGUGUGCUACAUUUGUACAUGAAGAAAAAGACACUGAUCAAUUAUUGGUCUCCUUUUGAAGAAUUAACUGCAUUUAUUUAUAUUCUGGAUGUACUGAUGCAUUUAUCCUGAAGACAAGAUAGCUGUUGCUUACACAGAACACGUACACAUGAGAAAAUAAAGAAACAGUGCAAAUUUGUCCUUUCUAUUUCCUUUCCAAGUUCUAUUCUAGUCAGAUUUUUGUUUGUCUGACCUUGAUCACUUAUUGAUUUUCCGUACAUCUUCUACCUUUGCAGUCUAUUCAUAUUAUCUUUGAAUAUUUCCUCUUGGAUCUUUGGCUUCCAAUUCUUGCAGCAGUAUUCCCUGACACACUUUGAUGUUUUUGUAGGUCACCGACAUACAGCUCUUACCUGCCAGCAGACUUCAAAGCCGGUAACGUUUGGCAGUCAAACCUGUCUCAGGCAUUUUUACUGGUUUGAAGGAGUUACUGAAAUUGAAUGGCAAAUGCUCAGCCAGCACUGGAGUCACAUUCCUAUGUGAGAGAGGACUGCCAGUGUUGCCUUUAUGUGCUGCUACCUGGAUAAAUCUUGAAUUGGUGGUUAUUUGAGGAGUACAGUCCCCAAAACCACUCCACAAAAAACAGUAUUGGGGUGGCAAUGAAGGAAGCAGCCUAAGUUUGUGGGCUCCCUCAGUUCAGACCUCUGGUUCUAGAAGAACAGAAUUUUCUUCCCCAUAGACUUGUGCCUAUGCCAGAUUUUGUUCCCAGCGCAGCUACCAGCAGCAUCUACCAAAGCACAAGAACCAUUUACAGUCACAGAGGGAGCUGCUGACAUACU